This 226-nucleotide unclassified non-coding RNA is filed under the name uncultured fungus. RNAcentral describes it as "sequence contains ITS1". Lineage: Eukaryota; Fungi. The record is from RNAcentral.
UUAACAUUUGUUAUAAACAGUUCAGACAGAUGACAUAAAAAUGCAAGAGUUUGAUGUAUACCUCCCGCGAGUGCUCCCCGUCGGACAGCUUUCGCCAUCGUUCGGAGGUGACCGAGAUCACUGCCUCGCGGAAGCAACGGGUAAGAUACACAGAUGGGUUUAUAAUGUAUAUUCGAGAGAAUACAUAUUACUUUUAAUGAUCCUUCCGCAGGUUCACCUACGGAAA